GGUUUGUAGCUUAGUGGAAGAGUGCUUGCCUAGCAUGUGUGAGGCACUGGGUUCAAUUCUCAGCACCA
This 68-nucleotide transfer RNA is filed under the name Marmota monax (woodchuck). RNAcentral describes it as "tRNA.Ala". The record is from RNAcentral. Lineage: Eukaryota; Metazoa; Chordata; Mammalia; Rodentia; Sciuridae.